GACGAACGCUGGCGGCGUGCCUAAUACAUGCAAGUUGAGCGCUGAAGGUUGGUACUUGUACCGACUGGAUGAGCAGCGAACGGGUGAGUAACGCGUGGGGAAUCUGCCUUUGAGCGGGGGACAACAUUUGGAAACGAAUGCUAAUACCGCAUAAAAACUUUAAACGCAAGUUUUAAGUUUGAAAGAUGCAAUUGCAUCACUCAAAGAUGAUCCCGCGUUGUAUUAGCUAGUUGGUGAGGUAAAGGCGCACCAAGGCGAUGAUACAUAGCCGACCUGAGAGGGUGAUCGGCCACAUUGGGACUGAGACACGGCCCAAACUCCUACGGGAGGCAGCAGUAGGGAAUCUUCGGCCAUGGACGCAAGUCUGACCGAGCAACGCCGCGUGAGUGAAGAAGGUUUUCGGAUCGUAAAACUCUGUUGGUAGAGAAGACCGUUGGUGAGAGUGGAAAGCUCAUCAAGUGACGGUAACUACCCAGAAAGGGACGGCUCACUACGUG
This 497-nucleotide ribosomal RNA is filed under the name uncultured bacterium. Its description in RNAcentral is "partial 16S ribosomal RNA". It matches the Rfam family "Bacterial small subunit ribosomal RNA", at positions 28 to 507 of the family's 1533-position model. The record is from RNAcentral.